GAUGAACGCUGGCGGCGUGCCUAAUACAUGCAAGUCGAGCGAACGGACGAGAAGCUUGCUUCUCUGAUGUUAGCGGCGGACGGGUGAGUAACACGUGGAUAACCUACCUAUAAGACUGGGAUAACUUCGGGAAACCGGAGCUAAUACCGGAUAAUAUUUUGAACCGCAUGGUUCAAAAGUGAAAGACGGUCUUGCUGUCACUUAUAGAUGGAUCCGCGCUGCAUUAGCUAGUUGGUAAGGUAACGGCUUACCAAGGCAACGAUGCAUAGCCGACCUGAGAGGGUGAUCGGCCACACUGGAACUGAGACACGGUCCAGACUCCUACGGGAGGCAGCAGUAGGGAAUCUUCCGCAAUGGGCGAAAGCCUGACGGAGCAACGCCGCGUGAGUGAUGAAGGUCUUCGGAUCGCAAAACUCUGUAUUAGGGAAGAACAUAUGUGUAAGUAACUGUGCACAUCUUGACGGUACCUAAUCAGAAAGCCACGGCUAACUACGUG
This 496-nucleotide ribosomal RNA is filed under the name uncultured bacterium. Its description in RNAcentral is "partial 16S ribosomal RNA". It matches the Rfam family "Bacterial small subunit ribosomal RNA", at positions 28 to 507 of the family's 1533-position model. The record is from RNAcentral.